Molecule: long non-coding RNA, 1707 nt
Organism: Calidris pugnax (ruff)
Lineage: Eukaryota; Metazoa; Chordata; Aves; Charadriiformes; Scolopacidae
Exons: 3
Source: RefSeq, a predicted model, not a curated record
CUUGGAGUGUUUUAAAACAGCCUUCAGGAUGUUGGUCUAAAGUUUGCUGCCUGCACCAGGAACGUUUGGGAAAGCUGCUGAGAUCACCAAGAGAAGAUGGAUGUGAUGGUUUUCUGAGGAGAGGGGGCAGCGUGGAAGUACCUUUCCCUGCCUUCCUUCAGGACGGUGACCUUUUCCACGGGGGGGACGUCGGGUGGACACUGCAGAUGGUCUGGUCAGUGGGAAAGUCAUCCUUUGGUGAUGGAUCAGAAGGCAGAGCUUGCGUGAGCCAAGCCAUGAAGGUUGGCUGCUCACCUUCACCAGAGGAGCUGCCUCCCGUCAGCUGUGUGGGCUGAAAGGGGUCCCUGGAGUCUCUGCUUGGUCUCCUCUAACUAUGAGAGUUCCUUCGGGGCAAGCUCAGAAACAGAUAUUUCAGGUCUGGCAUUUUGUUUUCAUCAAAAUGUUUAUUUUCUAUACCCCAUUGUAUGUAUAAGUCAUUCAGAUGAUUAAAAACCCAUUGUAAGUCUUAUCUUUUAACCAAAUAUUAACCUUGCUUUCUAUGUGCAAGCUGGUAUUAACUCACACCAGCCCUUUUCCUGCGCUCAGAACUCCUAUUCUAAGCCUUUUCUUUAAACCUGUUAUUAAUUCUGCCUUUUAUGUCUAAGCCUGGUACGGCAGCACAAUUAACUGCUUUACUUAACAUGCAAGGUUAGAAGUGAUCUCUAUGAUACCACUGACAUUAAGAAAGUAAAUGGGGUUAAACUGAUUCUUAUUACAAGCUGAUCUUUCUGCAGUCUUUGGUUGGUGGAACCGGCAGCAGACGUGUGUUGCAGAAUUAAUUUUAAGGGAGUUGUAAGAACCAUUGCUACAUAAUGGUGAUAUCAGGGGGGAAUGGAAGAAUCCACACAAGUCUUUAAUCUCCCUCAAGCCAAGAUAUUAAUUGUGCUUUAUUCUGUAGUUUAAAAGAAAUCCUUAAUCACACUGUCAACAUCUCCUUUUGUGCUCCUCAUUUUCUUCUGGUUAUAAAUAUGAAUCAGCUUUUCCUUCAGUAAGGCUGGAGAAGUUCAGGCUCUUCAGUUCACAACCAGCAAGAGCUACUUCUGCUGCAGGAGCAGAACGGGACCUCAGUUCUUGAGCUCCAUGGUCUUAACCUUCUUCGGUGGGGAAUUCAUAGAGAAACAGUCUGUUGAUAUUUUGUCAGGCCUAGCAGAGGUGUUCUGUGCUGAGAUUGGGAGAGAAGUCUCUCAGUGGCUCACUGGUGGAACUGGGGAGCACAUCGGUGACCUGUGUUGGUAAGUGACUGAAACGGUGACUUUCCUCUGCCCAACAAGACACGUCUUUCUAAAAGUAAAACAGAUAAACAGGUAAAUGGCUAAUUCUGUGCUUCACUCUGUGACAAGCAGGAAUUUAAUACAAUUGUAGAAGAAGUAGUAGUGGUUGAGACAGCAGAUGACUAAUGCAUGACUAAGGUUUCUGCAGGAGCUGUGAGGUGAAGGUGACGCUCAGUUCUGGAUUUGGAAGGGCUGUGAUCAGCAGGUCUGCAAAGCCCAGCUGGGAGUUUCAAAAAAACUUGAGAAUAGGGCUGAAUUCCAGGGUUUCAGGGCACAUACCAUACCUGAGUGAGGUUUGUAACAGCGAUGCCAAGGACAUGACAGAAAAACCACCCACUCCCUUCAGGAAGGUGUCUUCCUUUGAAGGGCAGUGCAGCAGGCACCAGGAGAGCUCUGC